CGUAACAAGGUCUCCGUAGGUGAACCUGCGGNGGGAUCAUUACACAAAUAUGAAGGCGGGCUGGAACCUCUCGGGGUUACAGCCUUGCUGAAUUAUUCACCCUUGUCUUUUGCGUACUUCUUGUUUCCUUGGUGGGUUCGCCCACCACUAGGACAAACAUAAACCUUUUGUAAUUGCAAUCAGCGUCAGUAACAAAUUAAUAAUUACAACUUUCAACAACGGAUCUCUUGGUUCUGGCAUCGAUGAAGAACGCAGCGAAAUGCGAUAAGUAGUGUGAAUUGCAGAAUUCAGUGAAUCAUCGAAUCUUUGAACGCACAUUGCGCCCCUUGGUAUUCCGAGGGGCAUGCCUGUUCGAGCGUCAUUACACCACUCAAGCUAUGCUUGGUAUUGGGCGUCGUCCUUAGUUGGGCGCGCCUUAAAGACCUCGGCGAGGCCACUCCGGCUUUAGGCGUAGUAGAAUUUAUUCGAACGUCUGUCAAAGGAGAGGAACUCCGCCGACUGAAACCUUUAUUUUUCUAGGUUGACCUCGGAUCAGGUAGGGAUACCCGCUGAACUUAAGCAUAUCA
This 566-nucleotide ribosomal RNA is filed under the name uncultured fungus. RNAcentral describes it as "eukaryotic LSU rRNA". The stretch from base 208 to 361 matches the Rfam family "5.8S ribosomal RNA". Lineage: Eukaryota; Fungi. The record is from RNAcentral.